UCCGCUGGUAGGUGGGAACACCGGCGCAGACGCGGAAAUUCUAAAUAGACGGGGCACGGGCUUCCGGAUCGUACCGUCAACUUCGCCGCCAUAUUAUGGUUAUUGGGCUGCAGUCAGCACCAGCAGUGGCCUUAAUUUGGCUGGAGGAUCAUCCCCGUGUCUGUGUGGAGAGCCAAUCGGAUCCUGCGGGUCUUCUGUGAAUUAUCUUGGUAAUGGCGCAUUGUGAGAGGCCUGGCUUGUGGAGCUCGACAAUCCCCACCACGUUCAAAGUCGGUCAGCUUUUCUGCCUUUGCCUAUCAGGAGGUCUUGACAAGGGGAAUACUUGAUGGAAAAUUACAUGGAAGCCAAUGGUUUUGCACAGAACUUAUCUUUUAAAGGCUAUGGACUUAAAUUUAAACCUUUAAGCCUAAUUAAGUUUAAUUGUUGUUUUCAAUCAAUUGCCUGCUCAAAGGUUUUUGUCUCCUGGGGGUUCUCAGGACUUGAUAAUGCGCUAUAAAAGUAAAGGUAAUUUAUUUUAUAUCCAUCCAUCCAUCCGUCCAUUCAUC
Long non-coding RNA from Fundulus heteroclitus (mummichog), 545 nucleotides. RefSeq lists it as uncharacterized. The transcript has 3 exons. NCBI's taxonomy places the organism in Eukaryota, Metazoa, Chordata, Actinopteri, Cyprinodontiformes, Fundulidae. The record is from RefSeq and is a predicted model, not a curated record.